UCCCGUUUAGCUCAGUUGGUAGAGCGCGUCACUAGUAUGGGACUAUCCAUUAGGAAUGUCUCGUCAUGACGAGGUCAGUCGUUCGAGUCGGCUAAUGGGAA
Molecule: non-coding RNA, 101 nt
Organism: Gelatoporia subvermispora B
Lineage: Eukaryota; Fungi; Basidiomycota; Agaricomycetes; Polyporales; Gelatoporiaceae
Source: the annotation of a GenBank genome assembly